Long non-coding RNA from Taeniopygia guttata (zebra finch), 1576 nucleotides. The record is from Ensembl. Lineage: Eukaryota; Metazoa; Chordata; Aves; Passeriformes; Estrildidae.
GGAACGGAACGGGCCGGGCGGAGGGCGCAGCCAUGUCCUUCUGCUCCUUUUUUGGGGGAGAGGUGUUCAAGGACCACUUCCAGCCGGGUAUUUACGUGUGUGCCAAGUGUGGCCAUGAGCUCUUCUCCAGCCGGGCCAAGUACGAGCACUCGUCGCCGUGGCCGGCGUUCACCGAGACCCUGCGCGGGGACAGCGUGGCCAAACGCGAGGAGCGCCCGGGAGCCUUAAAGGUGACGUGUGGCAAGUGUGGCAACGGGCUGGGCCACGAGUUCCUCAACGAUGGGCCCAAGAGGGGCCAGUCCCGCUUCUGAAUAUUCAGCAGCUCACUGAAGUUCCUCCCGAAAGGUAAAUCUGACCUGACGGAAAAAUAAGUGAGCUGCUGCACCUGGCACUGCCCUGGGCUCAUCCUGCCUUCACUCCUUGGGAUGCGCUGUCCUGCCAAGAGGACCCACAGCAGGAGCAACCCCAAGGAAGCUCCUGCUCCGAGUUUUCCCCUGAUUUCGUGGUCACGGUUUCCCCUUGAUUUCCCAGUCAAGGUUUUAUUCCCUGAUUUCCCUGUCAGGGUUCCCCUGUUUUCCCUGGGCCAGUUCCCCUCAAUAUCUCUGUCACGGUUCUCCCCGGGUUUCUCUGUCCUGGUUCUCUCCUGUUCUCUCCUGGUUUCCCUGUCCUGGUUCUCUCCUGGUUUCUCUGUCCUGGCUCUCUCCUGGUUCCCCUGUCCUGGUUCUCUCCUGGUUCCCUGGCCCAGUUCCUCCCUGGGGCUGCUCCAGCUCCAUCCAAGGAGCUGCUGUGCCUGUGCUGAGCUCAGGGAGGGUUUGCUGCUGACAGUGUCCAGAGCCCAGGCAGGCACUGGAUGCACUCCAGGGAGGCUCUGCUGGCACUUGCAGGGACUAAGGCAGGAUUAGCCCAGGCCAGGGUCAGGGUUAAUCCCUGGAGCUAUUCUGGGCUGGGAUCAUGGUAUGAACUGCCCUAUAUAAACCCUCCAGGGCGCUGGGGCAGGGAUGUUUUAUGGUCCCACAUGUUUUCUGGGCAGCAUCCAGGUGUUUUCCCCCUCUGCCCACCUCCCACACUGCAGAGACGGUUCCACACCGGGGCCCUCGACUCUGCCCUGGCCUUACACCUGAUUCAGCGCUGUGCAAUAAAUUCCAGGGGCACUUGGCUUCCUCCUGGCUGUGCCCUGCAGGGAGGGAGGCUGGAAUUGGGCCCCAGAACUGCACUUGGCACCGCUCAGGCUCAGCAUUGUGGCUGUGCUGCCUCAGUGCUCCCAAGAGCUGCCACACUGAUCCUCCUCAGUUCAGUGCCUCAUUCCUGGCCUUCCCUCCCUGGCCCAGGAGCCAAAUCCUCCUCUGGAAGGGAUCCACGAGGAUCUUUAAAGAGGGAAAAGGCUGUUGCUGACCCGUGGGUUUAGAGGGGCUGUGCUGCUGGUGCAGCUGCACUUGGGGACACUUUGGGGGCUUUUCUCUCCGUGUGUUUUCCCUCAAUCCCACGGAUCCCAGGGCACCAGGGCAGGUUUGCCACCCCUGGAGCUCACUGCAGGUCUUGUACCUCUCCAUGCUGAAAUAAAGCACUGAUUCACUGU